Molecule: ribosomal RNA, 476 nt
Filed under: Amphinema sp. YM1057
Lineage: Eukaryota; Fungi; Basidiomycota; Agaricomycetes; Atheliales; Atheliaceae
Description: eukaryotic LSU rRNA
Rfam family: 5.8S ribosomal RNA (bases 95-249)
Source: RNAcentral
ACCUGUGAACCCACCGUAGGCCUUCGGGCUUAUGUAUCAUAUACUCUGAAUGUGUCAUAGAAUGUUCAUGUUGCCUUAAAACGCAAUCAAAUACAACUUUCAACAACGGAUCUCUUGGCUCUCGCAUCGAUGAAGAACGCAGCGAAAUGCGAUAAGUAAUGUGAAUUGCAGAUUUUCAGUGAAUCAUCGAAUCUUUGAACGCACCUUGCGCUCCUUGGUAUUCCGAGGAGCAUGCCUGUUUGAGUGUCAUUAAAUUCUCAACCCCACCGAUUUGCUUCGGGGGGAUUGGACUUGGAGCGUGCUGGCGAAGGUCGGCUCCUCUUUAAAUGCAUCAGUGGAGAGAAACUUGCCCCAGUGUGAUAAUCCUGUUGCGCUGUGGUGGGUGAAAGUCUGCUACCAACCGUCCCUCUGGGGACAUACAUCAUCUUAUUUUGACCUCAAAUCAGGUAGGACUACCCGCUGAACUUAAGCAUAUC